Bombus huntii is the source of this 1584-nucleotide RNA transcript. It is a transcript of the gene named alpha-ketoglutarate-dependent dioxygenase alkB homolog 4, with no coding region annotated. NCBI's taxonomy places the organism in Eukaryota, Metazoa, Arthropoda, Insecta, Hymenoptera, Apidae. The transcript is spliced from 7 exons. The record is from RefSeq and is a predicted model, not a curated record.
UGGCAAGGUGCUAAUGUUCUGUCAAAAGGAGAUUGUAAAAAGAUUAUCAGUUGAAAAGUUUAUUAUGAAAGUAUUAUUAUAAACGAGGAGAUUUAUAGUCGAUAGUAAACUACUCUAGUAAUUUCGAAUAAAGUUAACACGUAUAGAAGACCCAAUCAACGUAUUGCCCUUCUUACGCUAUCGCAUCGACAUUGUCCUUUAGUUUCCUGACUUUCACGUACUAUGUGUCUAAAAUAUGUAUACAUAUGUACAUAUGAAUAUAGUUCGAAAUAAGUAUUUAGCGACUUUUAAGUUCUUUGUUACUUAUUAAAGGAUGGAAACAGUGCGAUCUUGUGGUUGCAAGGGAAUAAGAUCUUGUCUUCUCUGCGAAACUGAACAUAAGAUUGUGAAACCCAAUCUUAAGACUCAUUUUGAGAAAUGUUCUAGUUAUGUAUAUUGUCCGAACUGUGACAAAUCGUGGCCUGGUUGGGAUGCUGAUCUUUACAAAAAUCAUCCGUAUCAUCAAGGAACUGCCAUAGAAUUUCCUGGUGUAUAUAUAAAGCUAGAUUUUCUAAAUCCUUGGGAAAUUAAUUCAUUGAAGAACGCGCUUGAAAAAAUACCUUGGGAAGUUUCUCAGAGUGGAAGAAGAAAACAGAAUUUUGGUCCAAAAUGCAACUUCAAGAAAAGAAAGCUUCAGUUGGGUUCCUUUGAUGGUUUUCCAAAGUCUACUCAAUUUGUGCAACAAAAAUUUUGCCAAGUACCCAUGCUUAAUAAUUUCCAAACGGUAGAACAAUGUACUUUAGAGUAUGAUCCGCUACGAGGAGCUUCGAUAGAUCCACAUAUCGAUGACUGCUGGAUUUGGGGUGAAAGAAUAGUUACUGUGAAUGUCAUGGGUAACUCAGUUUUAACAAUGAGUCCUUACCAUGGUCCAGAUACAAAAUAUAAUUUAGAAAGCGUUGCAGAGUAUUCCACUAUACUCGAAGGCUUCGAAUUUGAUACAAAUGAUAAAAAUGAAAGUAAUAAAGAUAUCGUUGUAAGGCUGCCAAUGCCAGAGGGAUCGCUUAUGAUUCUUUAUGAUAGUGCAAGGUAUAAAUGGGAACAUUGUGUUUUAAGAGAAGAUAUAACUUCUAAGCGAAUUUGUUUGGCUUAUCGCGAAUUAACUCCUCCAUAUUUAUGCACCUCAACAAAUAAUGAAAUAGUCAAAGAACUCUUAAAGAGAGCUUCGGUCUUUCAAUGAAGUGUGACUAAGGAAUAAAUAUAAUAAAUACUAACCUGAAUAAGAGCAAUGGCUACAGCUCCAGUACCAAUAUAAAGGGCACUCCUGUGAAUGAUAAUUGAAAGAUGUUUGAUACAUCCAGUUACAUAAAUAUUUUCAUUAUCUCUCGAAGGACAAGAUGAAGGAAUAGUCAUUUCUUGUGCUUCCCAAUCCUCGUAUCCAUUGUAUCCACAACAAUAGAGCUGUUGAAUAAUAUAUUCUAUUAUAAAAUCAAUGGCACUCCUAGCUUCGUCAUUUUUUUCAUAUUGAUGCAUGGUCGCAUUAAUUUUGUCAGCAAGAAGAUUUUUUAUUCCAUCUUGAAGAGCAUAAGCUGCAAUCCCAGCGAUCAG